AAGACCAUACUUCACAGGAUCAUUUCUGUAGUAGGUCUUCCCCAUACUCUCUACUCAAACGUAGAAUUGUCGCAACCAUGAAUUGACAAGACGAGACCACAGUCUCGUAACUCGUAACCUGAGCGUGUGAGGCAGAUUUCCUGUGGU
Small nucleolar RNA from Anoplophora glabripennis (Asian longhorned beetle), 147 nucleotides. RefSeq annotates it as small nucleolar RNA U3. The transcript has a single exon. Lineage: Eukaryota; Metazoa; Arthropoda; Insecta; Coleoptera; Cerambycidae. The record is from RefSeq and is a predicted model, not a curated record.